CGUUGAGCACGCUGAGGAGAGGUGGGAAGAAAAUCACAGAACGAAAACAUUUCUCAUUGUUGUACUCUCUCUCUACUCCAUCCAGCAUCUGCAUGCUCCAUGUUAAUAAACCCUCCAUCAGCAGCAGUUCCUGUGAUCCGUCUCUUCAUUUAUAACACUACGCAGACCGUGAAAGUGACAGUGGGGGUGGGGGGGGCGGUUACAGUGAUGCCGUGACCCGGAUGAAGAUCAGUUCGCCUCGGAUCUUCAUCCAAGGAUCAAUGCCGUUUGACCACCAGUGGAUGCUGCACUU
Sinocyclocheilus grahami is the source of this 292-nucleotide long non-coding RNA. RefSeq lists it as uncharacterized. The record is from RefSeq and is a predicted model, not a curated record. NCBI's taxonomy places the organism in Eukaryota, Metazoa, Chordata, Actinopteri, Cypriniformes, Cyprinidae. The transcript has 3 exons.